RNAcentral lists this ribosomal RNA (368 nucleotides) under uncultured bacterium. Its description in RNAcentral is "bacterial SSU rRNA". It matches the Rfam family "Bacterial small subunit ribosomal RNA", at positions 527 to 893 of the family's 1533-position model. The record is from RNAcentral.
AGAGACUGCAAGCGUUAUUCGGAUUCACUGGGCGUAAAGGGUGCGCAGGCGGCCAAGUGUGUGAGGCGUGAAAGCCUGGGGCUUAACCCCAGAAUUGCACCUCAAACUACUUGGCUAGAGCAUUGGAGAGGGUAGCAGAAUUCAUGGUGUAGCAGUGAAAUGCGUAGAUAUCAUGAGGAAUACCAGAGGCGAAGGCGGCUACCUGGACAAUUGCUGACGCUCAGGCACGAAAGCGUGGGGAGCAAAAGGGAUUAGAUACCCCUGUAGUCCACGCCCUAAACGGUGCACACUAGGUCUUGGCGGAUUCGACCCCACCAGGGCCCAAGCUAACGCGUUAAGUGUGCCGCCUGAGGACUACGGCCGCAAGG